UACGUAGGGUGCAAGCGUUAUCCGGAAUUAUUGGGCGUAAAGGGCUCGUAGGCGGUUUGUCGCGUCCGGUGUGAAAGUCCAUCGCUUAACGGUGGAUCCGCGCCGGGUACGGGCGGGCUUGAGUGCGGUAGGGGAGACUGGAAUUCCCGGUGUAACGGUGGAAUGUGUAGAUAUCGGGAAGAACACCAAUGGCGAAGGCAGGUCUCUGGGCCGUUACUGACGCUGAGGAGCGAAAGCGUGGGGAGCGAACAGG
RNAcentral lists this ribosomal RNA (253 nucleotides) under Bifidobacterium longum subsp. infantis ATCC 15697 = JCM 1222 = DSM 20088. Its description in RNAcentral is "partial 16S ribosomal RNA". It matches the Rfam family "Bacterial small subunit ribosomal RNA", at positions 524 to 776 of the family's 1533-position model. Lineage: Bacteria; Bacillati; Actinomycetota; Actinomycetes; Bifidobacteriales; Bifidobacteriaceae. The record is from RNAcentral.